GAUGAACGCUGGCGGCGUGCUUAACACAUGCAAGUCGAACGGAAAGGCCCUGCUUGUGUGGUGUGCUCGAGUGGCGAACGGGUGUGUAACACGUGUGUAACCUGCCUUUGACUUUGGUAUAACUUCAGGAAACUGGGUAUAAUACCGGAUAGGAGCUCCUGCUGCGUGGUGGGGGUUGGAAAGUUUCGGCGGUUGGGGAUGGACUCGCGGCUUAUCAGCUUGUUGGUGGGGUAGUGGCUUACCAAGGCCUUGACGGGUAGCCGGCCUGAGAGGGUGACCGGCCACAUUGGGACUGAGAUACGGCCCAGACUCCUACGGGAGGCAGCAGUGGGGAAUAUUGCACAAUGGGCGGAAGCCUGAUGCAGCAACGCCGCGUGAGGGAUGACGGCCUUCGGGUUGUAAACCGCUUUCGCCUGUGACGAAGCGAAAGUGACGGUAAUGGGUAAAGAAGCACCGGCUAACUACGUG
This 468-nucleotide ribosomal RNA is filed under the name uncultured bacterium. RNAcentral describes it as "partial 16S ribosomal RNA". It matches the Rfam family "Bacterial small subunit ribosomal RNA", at positions 28 to 507 of the family's 1533-position model. The record is from RNAcentral.